UACGGAGGGGGCUAGCGUUGUUCGGAAUUACUGGGCGUAAAGCGCGCGUAGGCGGCUUUGUAAGUUAGAGGUGAAAGCCCGGGGCUCAACUCCGGAAUUGCCUUUAAGACUGCAUCGCUAGAAUCGUGGAGAGGUGAGUGGAAUUCCGAGUGUAGAGGUGAAAUUCGUAGAUAUUCGGAAGAACACCAGUGGCGAAGGCGACUCACUGGACACGUAUUGACGCUGAGGUGCGAAAGCGUGGGGAGCGAACAGG
Molecule: ribosomal RNA, 253 nt
Filed under: uncultured bacterium
Lineage: Bacteria
Description: partial 16S ribosomal RNA
Rfam family: Bacterial small subunit ribosomal RNA
Source: RNAcentral